AUCCUUAUCAAAGUCGAAUCGAAUGUCAGCCAUUGGAGCUGGGUUCUGAUGAAGUUCUGACCGUCAGAUCACGUAAUUUAAAUCCUUAACACAGUCGGGAGCGUUCUCAGCUGUCCGAUCACUUGAUGGAUUGCUUCUGGGCCGUCAGAUCGUGCAAAAACCCCUCUCUCGCUAUGAGCCACACCUGUGGAUCACGUGAAGUUUUCUGUGGACCGCACCC
This 220-nucleotide long non-coding RNA is filed under the name Elaeis guineensis (African oil palm). RNAcentral describes it as "long non-coding RNA (EGUI_LNC049746)". Lineage: Eukaryota; Viridiplantae; Streptophyta; Magnoliopsida; Arecales; Arecaceae. The record is from RNAcentral.